This 492-nucleotide ribosomal RNA is filed under the name uncultured bacterium. RNAcentral's name for it is "partial 16S ribosomal RNA". It matches the Rfam family "Bacterial small subunit ribosomal RNA", at positions 29 to 507 of the family's 1533-position model. The record is from RNAcentral.
AGUGAACGCUGGCGGUAGGCCUAACACAUGCAAGUCGAACGGCAGCACAGUAAGAGCUUGCUCUUACGGGUGGCGAGUGGCGGACGGGUGAGGAAUACAUCGGAAUCUACUUUUUCGUGGGGGAUAACGUAGGGAAACUUACGCUAAUACCGCAUACGACCUACGGGUGAAAGCCGGGGAUCUUCGGACCUUGCGCGAUUGAAUGAGCCGAUGUCGGAUUAGCUAGGUGGCGGGGUAAAGGCCCACCAAGGCGACGAUCCGUAGCUGGUCUGAGAGGAUGAUCAGCCACACUGGAACUGAGACACGGUCCAGACUCCUACGGGAGGCAGCAGUGGGGAAUAUUGGACAAUGGGCGCAAGCCUGAUCCAGCCAUACCGCGUGGGUGAAGAAGGCCUUCGGGUUGUAAAGCCCUUUUGUUGGGAAAGAAAAGCAGCAGGUUAAUACCCCGCUGUUCUGACGGUACCCAAAGAAUAAGCACCGGCUAACUUCGUG